RNAcentral lists this transfer RNA (63 nucleotides) under Khawia sinensis. RNAcentral's name for it is "tRNA-Trp". The record is from RNAcentral. Lineage: Eukaryota; Metazoa; Platyhelminthes; Cestoda; Caryophyllidea; Lytocestidae.
GUUGUGCUAAGUUAUCAGACUAAGUGUUUUCAAAACACUCAGUGGCAUGGGUGCCGCAUAAUG